GGUCUUGAAUUGCGCGCGCCACGCCUCUAUCUAUGGGAUGUCCUUCGGGACUAUGGAUAUAAACGCGCUCGUAAUAAGCGGUUCGGACCCGGGGGCGGUACCCGGCGACUCCACCAAUAAUCCGUCAUUUGCGGAUCAUGGGGUCGAAACAGGAUCGACGAACGUCUAAAGGGGUUAUGCUUUAUCUCGGCUGUCUGCCACCGUUAUCGGCGAAAACUGUACAAUUGCAAAUGACAAUCGUGCUCCAAUGGCGAUGGCCGCGUAAGCGACCGGAACUAUUGAAACCUAAGUCCUUACGUUUAGCGACCUAAGGCGGGGCCCGCCGGAGCCUGGCAACAGAAUCCGGCACC
RNAcentral lists this transfer-messenger RNA (350 nucleotides) under Sulfitobacter sp. S223. It matches the Rfam family "Alphaproteobacteria transfer-messenger RNA". Rfam says of the family: Bacterial tmRNA, also known as 10Sa RNA or SsrA, is named for its dual tRNA and mRNA-like properties. Its role is to liberate the mRNA from a stalled ribosome. The record is from RNAcentral. Lineage: Bacteria; Pseudomonadati; Pseudomonadota; Alphaproteobacteria; Rhodobacterales; Roseobacteraceae.